AGCGAACGCUGGCGGCAGGCUUAACACAUGCAAGUCGAACGGUCCUUCGGGAUAGUGGCGGCCGGGUGAGUAAUACGUGGGAACGUACCCUUAGGUUCGGAACAACACAGGGAAACUUGUGCUAAUACUCGAUAAGCCCUUCGGGGGAAAGAUUUAUCGCCUUUGGAGCGGCCCGUGUCUGGUUAGCUUGUUGGUGCGGUAAUGGCUCACCAAGGCUACGAUCAGUAGCUGGUCUGAGAGGAUGGCCAGCCACACUGGGACUGAGACACGGCCCAGACUCCUACGGGAGGCAGCAGUGGGGAAUCUUGCGCAAUGGGCGAAAGCCGGACGCAGCCAUGCCGCGGGGAUGAUGAAGGUCUUAGGAUUGUAAAAUCCUUUCACCGGGGACGAUAAUGACGGUACCCGGAGAAGAAGCCCCGGCUAACUUCGUGCCAGCCGCCGCCGUAA
This 447-nucleotide ribosomal RNA is filed under the name uncultured bacterium. RNAcentral's name for it is "partial 16S ribosomal RNA". It matches the Rfam family "Bacterial small subunit ribosomal RNA", at positions 29 to 523 of the family's 1533-position model. The record is from RNAcentral.